Molecule: long non-coding RNA, 740 nt
Organism: Athene cunicularia (burrowing owl)
Lineage: Eukaryota; Metazoa; Chordata; Aves; Strigiformes; Strigidae
Exons: 3
Source: RefSeq, a predicted model, not a curated record
UUGGUGUUGGCCGUCUAUCUCCAUGUGUGUUUUUCUAAGGCUCCACCUUUGCAGGCGUCCCAGCCCUGCCGGCAGGCUGUGGCCUGUGUCACCUGCUGAAAUGUGGGGUGGCAGGAGCUGGUGCGUCUGCUCCGCACAAGUGUCCCAUAAGGGAGUGCCCCCUGCUGUCAUAUAGGCUCUUCCUCUGUGCAGGUAUGGAUAGUUGCCUGUGUGCCCAGUUGUAUGAGGAAAAGGGCUGUCAUUCAUGGUACAGCUAAAACAUGUCUUCACAGCAAUCCAAUGUGAGAAUGUCCAUGCUGGAGCUUUGAAGCUGCAGGCAACAUUUAAGCGUGAUACUUGUCUCUGUUUCAGGGUAGCCGAGACUACUGGACAAAGAACCCCAGGGAGAUUUGCUGCUGCAAAAGGGUAUCCGUGGUGUCUGUGCUGUGCCACACACCUCACUGGGAACCAACUCCUCCCAGGAAGAGAGCAGCUUGACCAGGAAAGAUGUGGAAAGGAAGGGAGAGGUAAUUAAGUCAGGACACUUGCACCCCUUGGAUGCUUCUGCUCCUCCAGAGCAAGGAUGUAGACAAAGCAACCUGCUUCUCAAAGAAAAGUACACAAACGUUGAAAGGUAAAUGUAAAGCUGCCAUGGCAAUUUAGGCAGCUUUUAGACCACAGAAAGCACACUAAAUCUCAUUAGAUCCCUCCUAGAAAUCUUAAAACUUGAAUUCAGCACUUGUGCUCUGUAGCCUCAGCUG